CCUGGUGGCAUGCUUCCUGUCAAUGGGGUGAUAAGGAAAAGCAGUUUUAUGUCUGCCUUAUAAGGAAUUCAGUAUUUCUCGGAAGAGUUUCUUCAGGUGCAUGGGAUACCACAAGCUGUAAAGAAUGACAUAUGCAGCGAAUGAGAACUAGAUGAGAUAGGCUUGAAGUCAAUGUACUUUUGUUUUGGACUGGUAAAGAGCUGAGCCUUCUGUACAUGCUUUGAGUAACACCAGCCAAUUUUAGUGCCAGAAGAAGUAAGUCAUGGAAGGUUUCUCCCCUGAAAGCAGAUGUCUGAUGAAUAAAACAGAGUCUGGAAAUGACAGAGCUGAUACUGACAAGGAAUGCAAUGGCAAUAACUCGGAAAGAACAGAAAGCACAAAGCAAGAGAUGUUUCUUCCGCAAUUCCCUGUUCUACAGGCUUCUGAGUGUGAACACGUUAGACUACCUGGGAAUCAAAUGAAUGGCAGCUACCAGGUACAGAAUACAGUGUCAAGUGCUUUGCGUUGUUCUUUACCUUCCCAAGAUGUGAGCUUUUAAGGGUACUUUAUUUCAAUACAGAUACUUUUAUAGGUUCUUUUGUGUCAUUAAUUAGAUGUUCCUUUUGCAAUGAGAUAGGUCAGUUAUAUCCAAGAGUGACAGGGAGGGAGAGAGAAUCCACUUCUCAUUUU
RNAcentral lists this long non-coding RNA (669 nucleotides) under Chrysemys picta bellii (western painted turtle). Its description in RNAcentral is "lncRNA (ENSCPBG00000019754.1)". Lineage: Eukaryota; Metazoa; Chordata; Testudines; Emydidae. The record is from RNAcentral.